UACGGGAGGCAGCAGUGGGGAAUAUUGCACAAUGGGCGCAAGCCUGAUGCAGCCAUGCCGCGUGUAUGAAAAAGGCCUUCGGGUUGUAAAGUACUUUCAGUCGUGAGGAAGGUGUUAAGGUUAAUAACCUUAGCAAUUGACGUUAGCGACAGAAGAAGCACCGGCUAACUCCGUGCCAGCAGCCGCGGUAAUACGGAGGGUGCGAGCGUUAAUCGGAAUUACUGGGCGUAAAGGGCACGCAGGCGGUUAAUUAAGUUGGAUGUGAAUCCCCGGGCUUAACCUGGGAAUGGCAUUCAAGACUGGUUAGCUAGAGUCUUGUAGAGGGGGUAGAAUUCCAUGUGUAGCGGUGAAAUGCGUAGAGAUGUGGAGGAAUACCGGUGGCGAAGGCGGCCCCUGGACAAAGACUGACGCUCAUGUGCGAAAGCGUGGGGAGCAAACGAGGAUUAGAUACCCGU
This 455-nucleotide ribosomal RNA is filed under the name uncultured bacterium. RNAcentral's name for it is "bacterial SSU rRNA". It matches the Rfam family "Bacterial small subunit ribosomal RNA", at positions 340 to 790 of the family's 1533-position model. The record is from RNAcentral.